CGCGGUGGCGGGCCGGGAGGAGGCGCGGCGGCGGCGCACCGCCUUGCGCCGCCUCUCCCCGGCAUGGAGCCGUUCGGGGAUGGCCACGGUGGUAUGCUCGAGGAGGCGAUGCACACGAGCGCACGGGCGCAGGCAGCGGCGACCCGCCACCAUCUCUGCGCCGGCGGGGCUUGGGAUUUCCGGUAAACGGCGCCUUCCCCGCCUCGUCCUCCCCUGCCUCAGCACCCGACGAGGACGCCGCCGCGCUGGUCUUGGGGUUUCUCCCCGGCGUGGUCUGCAUCUUCCCCGCCAAGAUCCUUGGUGGAGUUCUCUCCCCACUAGCAGCACGCGAGACCCUACAGAAGGGGCGGGUGGAGGCAGCACGGCACCGGGCUCGAAGCUCGUGAAGAGGAGAGGGACGGAGGUGGGUGGAGGCCACGAUGCACAGCAGCAACACGGAGGAGGCUAGCAGCAGCGCCACUGCGAGCUCCUUCUCUCGCCGCAGCUCCGAAGCUUGGCAUCCCCCGUUCAGCCACAGGCUGCAGUGCCUCCCACCCGUCUGGACGCGCCGCCGCAUUGCUCUGGUAGAGAAAGAGGAGCAGGAGGAGCUGCGCGACCAGGACGACUCCAAUGACCAUGCAUGGCGCCUCCGCCGGAGCACUACACACUUCUUUCUUCUCGCUACGGUUGGAUGUCUAGCAGAUUCACUAAUAGCGAGCACCACCAUUUGUGUUCAUGACCUGCAUGGCUGCUGCAGGUCACAGAGUAAAUUGCAAGGUGCAUUCAGCAACAUGAAGGGUAUUUAGGUGGUCUUGGUCCAUUGAUGAGUUACGGGGGAUCACAUAGAUGAAAAUUUGACCCUUGACAAUUUCACAUGAAGCAUGGGACUUAACAUAUUUGAUGAUGCUUGGAACUUUGAGAUCAGUUCAGAUGUUACUGGGAUAGAUGAAUAGCCCGAAACUUUGAGAGGAUGCUAUGGAUCUUCUCCCAAUCCUAGGGAAUUAUGUUGGUUUAAGCAUUAUAGAUAUUGAAAAGAUAAUGCCAAUCCACGAAUGUGUGCUUCCUAUGCUGCAGAAAUGUACACAAACUUAAUGGCCUCAGAGAUGGCUACAAAUAGGAGACAACCGUUGGAGUAUCUAUGUAUUCGUCUCACUCUUGUGGCACCACCAUGGUGGCAUUGGUUAAUGACUUGGCCAGACAUGGCCGGAUUUUUGGGUCAUGAUACAGAUAUCAGUGAGUGUCUAAUCGUUGUGCUUUGCUCCCAACAGUAUAGUGGAAUUUUUUGCCUGGUAAUGAAGGAAAGAGCACGAGCAGCAAUCUGACUCAAGUUUGGUGAUUUCCCCCUAAAAAACAGAGGCCUUGAAGGCCAUCAGGAUGUAGAUGCAGGAUAUUACAACAUCCUGGACAAAUCUCUCUUUGGGUAACAGUUCGUUGCAGCGUAUGAAGUGUACACGCAGAUAUCGCUGCAGGUCAACAAUAAGGAAGCGAAGGGUGGAUGAGGGACAUGGAGAACGGAGACUGUUGCGACUCUGAGGAGAGGAUGCCGACGCCGUGAUGCGGCAGGCGAGGAUACCGCAUGUGUUCUUCAAGAUGCUGAUUUUCUUCCAUGCCCUCGACACGGGUGCAUGAUUCCUCUUCCAGUGGCGACGCGGCCAAUAGCGAUGGCCUUGACUUCUGCCUUCGUGGCUUCUUCACUACCACUUGCGCCAGCCAGGGUGGCCGUCGUUUAUGAGGAAGGCUGAUUGACAAGGGCGAGGUGGUGCGGCGGAGGUUCCUUGAAAGACGGUGAUGAUCCAGAGCAUCUAUCGGAGCUAUCUUUGCCUGUUAUUUCGGAUUUUUUUAUUCGAUGAAAAGUGACCAGUAGCAGAGGGACAUUUCUAAUGCCCACUGCCAUUUGAUGAAACACAGGUAUACAAUCUCUUUUCGCUAUUCCAAAGUUCAUCUUCAGGUACAUUUUUCAGAUAUAUCAGGAUGGUGGAACUGGAUGCAACCUUAUGUCUUAGGCUGAUCAGAACUCAAGAAACUAGCAGACCGCAAUGGAAAUUCGGUCUUUGUGCUAUCCGAUUCUUCCUGGAUGUUUCUCCUAUGUUGCCAUGUCCAUGACUAUGCAGAUUAUUGUGUCACUUUUGUUGAGUUGUGCGGAUGGUUACCAUCCAGGAUCAUCGGCAGAUGUUGAGUAUAGAAGUGUUAUUUGGACUCACCAAAAAAGAUUUGUUCCUUCAAUUAUUAUUGUAUGUAGCUCCAGCCUUUUGUUAACCGGUGAUGGAUCGAGAGGCAGAAGAGUUUGGGCCACUCACAGUGAUGGAACGCUACAACACAUGUGUUAAUCUGGAAGUGGAUGAUUAGCAAAUUCCUGCAGAAUCGUUCCAGAAGGGUUUCAAUGUUCCAUUAUAAAUUUGAGAACAUUUUCAGAGAAUGCACACAUAAGUACCAUCAUUUGAGUUCUAUAAUGUACCUAUGGUAGUAAUAUGCUUAAGUAAUGUUUUGUACCCAUGAUAUUGCUGGUCUACUUUAUUUAUGUAUAAAUUAGUUCGUACUUGCUGCCACGACUAUUCACUGAGUAAGAAAAAUGGUUGAAUGUAUAUGUAUAAAAUCGACAUCUGUUUUGUUA
Molecule: non-coding RNA, 2590 nt
Organism: Lolium perenne
Lineage: Eukaryota; Viridiplantae; Streptophyta; Magnoliopsida; Poales; Poaceae
Source: RefSeq, a predicted model, not a curated record